This is a long non-coding RNA of Pseudophryne corroboree (corroboree frog), 326 nucleotides long. RefSeq lists it as uncharacterized. Lineage: Eukaryota; Metazoa; Chordata; Amphibia; Anura; Myobatrachidae. The record is from RefSeq and is a predicted model, not a curated record. The transcript has 3 exons.
ACUUAGCAACACUUUUAAACAUCCUCUCAUUGGCUCUCCGGGUCCGGCGCGGCCAGAUGACGUCACUGUUCUGAGACCCGCGACUUCAGCGGCUGGACGCGGCGGGAAUGGCAGCGCCGGACAGGUGACGGGGGUUGUUUGCUGUCAUGUGGUAUGCGCCGAUGCGGCAGGACAUCAUUGGAGACGCUGUAUUCGUGAUGACAUCAGGAGUCCGUGGCCCGGUCGGGACACAACGCAAGUCAGUCUCUACUGGGUGUUGGUGAUGGCCUAUAAGUAUUUGACUCCUGUAGCCUGGACAGCAAGUUUUAAACAAACAAUAUGAUGGG